GUGCACCAGUCGAGAAACUUCACAAUGUGCGAAAGCACGAUGAGGGAAUCCCAAGUGCUUGCACGUAAGUGUAAGCUGUUUCUCUGUCUAAAACGCAGAGAGAGUAAGGGCUGGGUAAGACGGGUGCCAGCCGCCGCGGUAAUACCUGCAGCUCGAGUGGUGACCGUUAUUAUUGGGCCUAAAACGUCCGUAGCCGGUUUAAUAAAUGCCUGGGUAAAUCGGACCGCUUAACGGUUCGAAUUCCGGGUAGACUGUUAAACUUGAGACCGGGAGAAGUUAGAGGUACUCCUGGGGUAGAGGUGAAAUUCUGUAAUCCUAGGGGACCACCAGUGGCGAAGGCGUCUAACUAGAACGGGUCUGACGGUGAGGGACGAAGCCCUGGGGCGCAAACGGGAUUAGAUACCCCCGUAGU
Molecule: ribosomal RNA, 412 nt
Filed under: uncultured microorganism
Description: bacterial SSU rRNA
Rfam family: Archaeal small subunit ribosomal RNA
Source: RNAcentral